Molecule: long non-coding RNA, 1206 nt
Organism: Felis catus (domestic cat)
Lineage: Eukaryota; Metazoa; Chordata; Mammalia; Carnivora; Felidae
Exons: 6
Source: RefSeq, a predicted model, not a curated record
GACCUAAGCCAAAGUAGGUCACUUAACUGACUGAGCCAUCCAGGUGCCCCUAAAAUAAAAAAUAUUUUUAAAAAUUCCUUUGACCCACAUAAAGAAAGAAUGUGACAUUCACAAAAAUAAUGUGACAUUCAUGUAGUGGUAACUUGAAAUCCUUUAAAAUAGUUGUUCUGUAGUUUAACAUUAAUUUGGUUUUUCUUUUUUAACAUGCUUAUGUUAUGAGAAAAAACUUCUGUCAAGCCUGAAAAAAGGGAAUGAAUUCUUCUUUUGCCUGAGGGUCCUGUCCUUCCCUGUGCUGAAACCACAUAAGUGGCUGGACUUCAGUGGGAGCCAAGAAGAGUUGAGAAGGUCUGACUAACCAAAGAACGUGAGUCUGCUAGCAGAAGAAAGUGAUGGCAGAGAUGCCAAGCAGAUAAAAGCAAUAAGUACUUCAGUAAUUGAGGAUCCCACAAAGAAACCACCCAUCAGGGACAACUGACCCUGUGAGGCAGCUACCCUCAGCACAACUUACAAAACAGCCAGGAAGGAAGUCAUACACCUGUCCCAAAAGCAGAAACCAGGCCAAACAGAAAAUUGAUACCAAAAACUGUUACCUACGGCAGCAAUUUGAACAAACAAUGGGAAAAGUUCUACCAAGACAAAGUUUUGAAUAAGAAGACCCAUGACUCUGACUUCCUCUCAACCCUGUGCAGGAUGCUGAAACACUGAACUGGUGAUUUAAACCCACAUAAUGAAGGACUCCCACAGCAGCCAGGCCAGCCAUCUCACCACUGGCCUGAUGACUCCCAGCUCCCAGGGCUCAACUGAAACCUCAGAAAUAACUCUCUCUGCACAGCUGAAGGGACACCUGGAACACGUGGUGAUUCCCAAAAAGUGUUUUAAAAAUUCCUCUCCAAUUGCAUCAGAAGAUACUUAUCUAUUAAAGGAAAUGCAAAAAUCAAGCAGAGGAUGCUUAAGAUGGCAAAAAAAAAAAAAAAAAAAGGAAAGAAAGAAAGAAAGAAAAGGAAACAAGAAUCUAUAGAGUACCAUCACACAACCUUACCUAAUAUUUUGCAAAAUGUCUUGGAGAAAAUCAGAGACAUCCAGAUGUAAAAAUGUAGAGAACACUAAAAUGAACACCUGUGUCCUCACUACCAAGGAGUGAAGAUUGUUAAUAUUUUCAUAACAUCUUUUUUACCUAUUUAAGUAAAAUAAACGAAAUAUCACAGA